GACGUCGGUCACGUUAUGGAUUGCUGUGGCCAGGAAGUGCCUGUACUUCAAGCUCCUCCCUGUAUACUGUACACUGAGAGCAGGCGGGCUGCCUGGAGCUGACACCAGCUGCAGCUGGUCAUUGGGUGAGAGAGCUGAGGCAGGGUUGCCUCAGGUGGAUCGGGCACAGCAGCGAUGGAGCCCAGCCGUGACCGGGGGAGGAGCAGAGAAGCCUUCACAGGAAAAAGGCCGGCCUUAAUCUCCAGUCACUGAGAGGACCACAGAUAGCUUAUAUAGCUGUGGGCUUGGCAUGCUUUCUGGGUGUAUUGGCCUUCAUCAUUUACACCUGUUGUAAGAAAUGCAGGUCAAAGGCUGACCCAGAGGAAGACAUCGAAGCCAACUUUGUCACAGACCCAGAUAAUGAAGAACUAAAGCGUCUGGUAAUAGAGAUGACACCAGUCUAUGGGAUACAGAGCAUUCUUAAAAAAAAAGAAGAGGAUAACAACAACGCUAAAUUUAAAUCCCAAAAGAAGGUUCAUUUUAAGGAUUAUCUUGAAUCCAUCAAGAAGGCAGAAAAAGACGCAAAAGCCAAAAAAAUUAGAAAAAUAAAAUAUAAACAAGCAGGCAAAUAAGAACUUUGAGAAAAUUAUACAACCGGGGGCAUGGCUUGGACACCAUCUGGGAGGAAGCAGGCAGGUUAGCUGCUCCUGAGGCGUACCCGGACGCUUGCCAUGCCCGGACUCAAGGACCAGCCGCAGGACACACUGAGACUGUGUUGCAACAAGGCAUCGGACCUGCUUGCCUGCCGAGCUGCCGGACACCUUCUCGGUUGUGGGUGCCCAAUACAACGGUCAAUGCAGAGGACCAUGACCAGCAACGCCCCCCCAUGUGCUCCAGAGAGGGCCUGGAGGUGGUAGUAUUGUGAGACCGGAGCUGGACAUUGGACCAGGGCCUAAGGCAGUGGCAGAGAGCAAAGCUGAUCUGAAGGAGGGAGUCACCAUACAGGCCAGUCUACAAGAAGAAGUGGAGGCCAGACGGGGAGAGAAUCACCUUCCUGCUGCCCACUAACUUCAGGCAGUCAGUGAACUUUACCCCACUGUGAAUCAAUAACAUACAAGUACUGUACUGUGAAUAUGCAGGCCGUUCUUCACUGCAUAUUUAUAACAUGUACAUACUGUGACUCCACAAUGAUUUCUGAAAUAAAGGGUCACGUAAAUAUA
Pseudophryne corroboree (corroboree frog) is the source of this 1199-nucleotide long non-coding RNA. RefSeq lists it as uncharacterized. The transcript has 4 exons. Lineage: Eukaryota; Metazoa; Chordata; Amphibia; Anura; Myobatrachidae. The record is from RefSeq and is a predicted model, not a curated record.